AGUGAACGCUGGCGGUAGGCCUAACACAUGCAAGUCGAACGGCAGCACAGUAAGAGCUUGCUCUUACGGGUGGCGAGUGGCGGACGGGUGAGGAAUACAUCGGAAUCUACUUUUUCGUGGGGGUUAACGUAGGGAAACUUACGCUAAUACCGCAUACGACCUACGGGUGAAAGCAGGGGAUCUUCGGACCUUGCGCGAUUGAAUGAGCCGAGGUCGGAUUAGCUAGUUGGCGGGGUAAAGGCCCACCAAGGCGACGAUCCGUAGCUGGCCUGAGAGGAUGGUCAGCGACACUGGAACGGAGACACGGUCCAGACUCCUACGGGAGGCAGCAGUGGGGAAUAGUGGACAAUGGGCGCAAGCCUGAUCCAGCCAUACCGCGUGGGUGAAGAAGGCGUUCGGGUUGUAAAGCCGUUUUGUUGGGAAAGAAAAGCAGCAGGUUAAUACCCCGCUGUUCUGACGGUACUCAAAGAAUAAGCACCGGCUAACUUCGUG
This 492-nucleotide ribosomal RNA is filed under the name uncultured bacterium. RNAcentral describes it as "partial 16S ribosomal RNA". It matches the Rfam family "Bacterial small subunit ribosomal RNA", at positions 29 to 507 of the family's 1533-position model. The record is from RNAcentral.